This 72-nucleotide transfer RNA is filed under the name Limnoglobus roseus. It matches the Rfam family "tRNA". Rfam says of the family: Transfer RNA (tRNA) molecules are approximately 80 nucleotides in length. Lineage: Bacteria; Pseudomonadati; Planctomycetota; Planctomycetia; Gemmatales; Gemmataceae. The record is from Rfam by way of RNAcentral.
GGCCCGUUCGUCUAGUGGUCAGGACGCCUGGUUCUCAACCAGGCAAUAGGGGUUCGACUCCCCUACGGGUCA